This 117-nucleotide ribosomal RNA is filed under the name Nocardioidaceae bacterium. The record is from RNAcentral. Lineage: Bacteria; Bacillati; Actinomycetota; Actinomycetes; Propionibacteriales; Nocardioidaceae.
UACGGCGGCCAUAGCGUGAGGGAAACACCCGGUCCCAUUCCGAACCCGGAAGUUAAGCCUCACAGCGCCGAUGGUACUGCAAUCGCGAGGUUGUGGGAGAGUAGGACGUCGCCGGAC